RNAcentral lists this ribosomal RNA (1539 nucleotides) under uncultured bacterium. Its description in RNAcentral is "bacterial SSU rRNA". It matches the Rfam family "Bacterial small subunit ribosomal RNA". The record is from RNAcentral.
AUUGAACGCUAGCGGCAUGCUUAACACAUGCAAGUCGAACGGUAACAGGCCUAGCUUGCUAGGUGCUGACGAGUGGCGGACGGGUGAGUAACGCGUAGGAAUCUACCUAGUAGUGGGGGAUAACCUGGGGAAACCCAGGCUAAUACCGCAUAAGCCCUAAGGGGGAAAGCAGGGGACCGUAAGGCCUUGUGCUAUUAGAUGAGCCUGCGUCAGAUUAGCUUGUUGGUGGGGUAAAGGCCUACCAAGGCGAUGAUCUGUAGCUGGUCUGAGAGGACGACCAGCCACACUGGGACUGAGACACGGCCCAGACUCCUACGGGAGGCAGCAGUGGGGAAUAUUGGACAAUGGGCGCAAGCCUGAUCCAGCAAUGCCGCGUGUGUGAAGAAGGCCUGCGGGUUGUAAAGCACUUUCAGUGGGGAGGAAGGCCUCGAUAUUAAUACUAUUGAGGAUUGACGUUACCCACAGAAGAAGCACCGGCUAACUCUGUGCCAGCAGCCGCGGUAAUACAGAGGGUGCAAGCGUUAAUCGGAAUUACUGGGCGUAAAGGGUGCGUAGGUGGUUUCUUAAGUCAGAUGUGAAAGCCCCGGGCUCAACCUGGGAAUUGCAUUUGAUACUGAGUAACUUGAGUAUGGUAGAAGGGAAGUGGAAUUUCCAGUGUUAGCGGUGAAAUGCGUANAUUUUUGGAANGAACACCAGUGGGCGAAAGCAGUGAAGCGGUGAAAUGCGUAGAUAUUGNAAGGAACCCCCAGUGGCGAAGGCGACUACNUGGGCAAAUACUGACACUGAGACACGAAAGCAUGGGGAGCAAACAGGAUUAGAUACCCUGGUAGUCCCAUGCUGUAAACUAUGAGAACUUGCUGUUGGAUGCAUAAAGGCAUUUAGUAGCGAAGCUAACGCGUUAAGUUCUCCGCCUGGGGAGUACGGUCGCAAGACUAAAACUCAAAGGAAUUGACGGGGGCCCGCACAAGCGGUGGAGCAUGUGGUUUAAUUCGAUGCAACGCGAAGAACCUUACCUACUCUUGAAUCCACAGAAUUUUGUAGAGAUACAGAAGUGCCUUCGGGAACUGUGAGACAGGUGCUGCAUGGCUGUCGUCAGCUCGUGUCGUGAGAUGUUGGGUUAAGUCCCGUAACGAGCGCAACCCUUGUCCUUAGUUACUAACGGGUUAUGCCGAGGACUCUAAGGAGACUGCCGAUGAUAAAUCGGAGGAAGGUGGGGACGAUGUCAAGUCAUCAUGGCCCUUACGAGUAGGGCUACACACGUGCUACAAUGGUCGGUACAAAAGGCCGCGAAACCGCGAGGUGGAGCAAAUCCUAUAAAGCCGAUCGUAGUCCGGAUUGGAGUCUGCAACUCGACUCCAUGAAGCUGGAAUCGCUAGUAAUCGUGGAUCAGAACGCCGCGGUGAAUACGUUCUCGGGCCUUGUACACACCGCCCGUCACACCAUGGGAGUGGGUUGCACCAGAAGUGGUUAGACUAACCGAAAGGAGGUCGAUCACCACGGUGUGAUUCAUGACUGGGGUGAAGUCGUAACAAGGUAACC